This 468-nucleotide ribosomal RNA is filed under the name uncultured bacterium. RNAcentral's name for it is "partial 16S ribosomal RNA". It matches the Rfam family "Bacterial small subunit ribosomal RNA", at positions 28 to 507 of the family's 1533-position model. The record is from RNAcentral.
GACGGACGCUGGCGGCGUGCUUAACACAUGCAAGUCGAACGGAAAGGCCCUGCUUUUGUGGGGUGCUCGAGUGGCGAACGGGUGAGUAACACGUGAGUAACCUGCCCUUGACUUUGGGAUAACUUCAGGAAACUGGGGCUAAUACCGGAUAGGAGCUCCUGCUGCAUGGUGGGGGUUGGAAAGUUUCGGCGGUUGGGGAUGGACUCGCGGCUUAUCAGCUUGUUGGUGGGGUAGUGGCUUACCAAGGCUUUGACGGGUAGCCGGCCUGAGAGGGUGACCGGCCACAUUGGGACUGAGAUACGGCCCAGACUCCUACGGGAGGCAGCAGUGGGGAAUAUUGCACAAUGGGCGGAAGCCUGAUGCAGCAACGCCGCGUGCGGGAUGACGGCCUUCGGGUUGUAAACCGCUUUCGCCUGUGACGAAGCGUGAGUGACGGUAAUGGGUAAAGAAGCACCGGCUAACUCCGUG